GGUCUGGUGGCCGAGGUGACAACGGCGCCGGUCUUCAUACGGCAGGACUGGGGUUCAAAUCCCAUCCAGACCG
This is a non-coding RNA of Anopheles stephensi (Asian malaria mosquito), 73 nucleotides long. Lineage: Eukaryota; Metazoa; Arthropoda; Insecta; Diptera; Culicidae. The record is from Rfam.